Molecule: ribosomal RNA, 460 nt
Filed under: uncultured bacterium
Lineage: Bacteria
Description: partial 16S ribosomal RNA
Rfam family: Bacterial small subunit ribosomal RNA
Source: RNAcentral
CCUACGGGUGGCAGCAGUGAGGAAUAUUGGUCAAUGGCCGAGAGUCUGAACCAGCCAAGUAGCGUGAAGGAUGACUGCCCUAUGGGUUGUAAACUUCUUUUAUAUGGGAAUAAAAUGUUCCACGUGUGGGAUUUUGUAUGUACCAUAUGAAUAAGGAUCGGCUAACUCCGUGCCAGCAGCCGCGGUAAUACGGAGGAUCCGAGCGUUGUCCGGAUUUAUUGGGUUUAAAGGGAGCGUAGGUGGAUUGUUAAGUCAGUUGUGAAAGUUUGCGGCUCAACCGGAAAAUUGCAGUUGAAACUGGCAGUCUUGAGUACAGUAGAGGUGGGCGGAAUUCGUGGUGUAGCGGUGAAAUGCUUAGAUAUCACGAAGAACUCCGAUUGCGAAGGCAGUUCACUGGACUGCAACUGACACUGAGGCUCGAAAGUGUGGGUAUCAAACAGGAUUAGAUACCCCGGUAGUC